UUUAUCCAGACUUUGAUCCUGGCUCAGGAUGAACGCUAGCUACAGGCUUAACACAUGCAAGUCGAGGGGAAACGACAUCGAAAGCUUGCUUUUGAUGGGCGUCGACCGGCGCACGGGUGAGUAACGCGUAUCCAACCUGCCCACCACUUGGGGAUAACCUUGCGAAAGUAAGACUAAUACCCAAUGAUAUCUCUAGAAGGCAUCUGAAAGAGAUUAAAGACUUAUCGGUGAUGGAUGGGGAUGCGUCUGAUUAGCUUGUUGGCGGGGUAACGGCCCACCAAGGCGACGAUCAGUAGGGGUUCUGAGAGGGAGGUCCCCCACAUUGGAACAGAGACACGGUCCAAACUCCUACGGGAGGCAGCAGUGAGGAAUAUUGGUCAAUGGGCGAGAGCCUGAACCAGCCAAGUAGCGUGCAGGAUGACGGCCCUAUGGGUUGUAAACUGCUUUUAUAAGGGAAUAAAGUGAGUCUCGUGAGAUUUUUUGCAUGUACCUUAUGAAUAAGGACCGGCUAAUUCCGUGCCAGCAGCCGCGGUAAUACGGAAGGUCCGGGCGUUAUCCGGAUUUAUUGGGUUUAAAGGGAGCGUAGGCCGGAGAUUAAGCGUGUUGUGAAAUGUAGACGCUCAACGUCUGCACUGCAGCGCGAACUGGUUUCCUUGAGUACGCACAAAGUGGGCGGAAUUCGUGGUGUAGCGGUGAAAUGCUUAGAUAUCACGAGGAACUCCGAUUGCGAAGGCAGCUCACUGGAGCGCAACUGACGCUGAAGCUCGAAAGUGCGGGUAUCGAACAGGAUUAGAUACCCUGGUAGUCCGCACGGUAAACGAUGGAUGCCCGCUGUUGGUCUGAAUAGGUCAGCGGCCAAGCGAAAGCAUUAAGCAUCCCACCUGGGGAGUACGCCGGCAACGGUGCAACUCAAAGGAAUUGACGGA
RNAcentral lists this ribosomal RNA (926 nucleotides) under uncultured Bacteroidota bacterium. Its description in RNAcentral is "bacterial SSU rRNA". It matches the Rfam family "Bacterial small subunit ribosomal RNA", at positions 1 to 917 of the family's 1533-position model. Lineage: Bacteria; Pseudomonadati; Bacteroidota. The record is from RNAcentral.